RNAcentral lists this ribosomal RNA (468 nucleotides) under uncultured bacterium. Its description in RNAcentral is "partial 16S ribosomal RNA". It matches the Rfam family "Bacterial small subunit ribosomal RNA", at positions 28 to 507 of the family's 1533-position model. The record is from RNAcentral.
GACGAACGCUGGCGGCGUGCUUAACACAUGCAAGUCGAACGGAAAGGCCCUGCUUUUGUGGGGUGCUCGAGUGGCGAACGGGUGAGUAACACGUGAGUAACCUGCCCUUGACUUUGGGAUAACUUCAGGAAACUGGGGCUAAUACCGGAUAGGAGCUCCUGCUGCAUGGUGGGGGUUGGAAAGUUUCGGCGGUUGGGGAUGGACUCGCGGCUUAUCAGCUUGUUGGUGGGGUAGUGGCUUACCAAGGCUUUGACGGGUAGCCGGCCUGAGAGGGUGACCGGCCACAUUGGGACUGAGAUGCGGCCCAGACUCCUACGGGAGGCAGCAGUGGGGAAUAUUGCACCAUGGGCGGAAGCCUGAUGCAGCAACGCCGCGUGCGGGAUGACGGCCUUCGGGUUGUAAACCGCUUUCGCCUGUGACGAAGCGUGAGUGACGGUAAUGGGUAAAGAAGCACCGGCUAACUACGUG